Molecule: ribosomal RNA, 180 nt
Filed under: uncultured Glomeromycotina
Lineage: Eukaryota; Fungi; Glomeromycota
Description: partial small subunit ribosomal RNA
Source: RNAcentral
GACCUGGCUGGGUGGUCUUGCCGAAAGGUAAGCACUGCCCCGGUCGGGUCUUUCCUUCUGGGGAACCACCGUGCCCUUAACUGGGUGCGAUGGGGAUCCAGGACUUUUACUUUGAAAAAAUUAGAGUGUUUAAAGCAGGCUUUCAAGCUUGAACAUAUUAGCAUGGAAUAAUGAAAUAGG